Astyanax mexicanus (Mexican tetra) is the source of this 75-nucleotide regulatory RNA element. It matches the Rfam family "U1A polyadenylation inhibition element (PIE)". From Rfam's summary of the family: This family represents the U1A polyadenylation inhibition element (PIE). PIE is a regulatory RNA which is responsible for the regulation of the length of the polyA tail of the U1A pre-mRNA. The PIE is located in the U1A mRNA 3' UTR. NCBI's taxonomy places the organism in Eukaryota, Metazoa, Chordata, Actinopteri, Characiformes, Acestrorhamphidae. The record is from Rfam.
UGUUAAAGCAUUGCACCCAGAGUCUGGAUCCACCAGACAUCAUACCUGGAGCUUUUGUUUUAAUUAAAGACGUUC